UGGGGAAUUUUGGACAAUGGGGGAAACCCUGAUCCAGCCAUCCCGCGUGUGCGAUGAAGGCCUUCGGGUUGUAAAGCACUUUUGGCAGGAAAGAAACGUCGCGGGUUAAUACCCCGCGAAACUGACGGUACCUGCAGAAUAAGCACCGGCUAACUACGUGCCAGCAGCCGCGGUAAUACGUAGGGUGCAAGCGUUAAUCGGAAUUACUGGGCGUAAAGCGUGCGCAGGCGGUUCGGAAAGAAAGAUGUGAAAUCCCAGAGCUUAACUUUGGAACUGCAUUUUUUAACUACCGGGCUAGAGUGUGUCAGAGGGAGGUGGAAUUCCGCGUGUAGCAGUGAAAUGCGUAGAUAUGCGGAGGAACACCGAUGGCGAAGGCAGCCUCCUGGGAUAACACUGACGCUCAUGCACGAAAGCGUGGGGGAGCAAACAGGAUUAGAUACCCUGGUAGUCCACGCCCUAAAACGAUGUCAACUAGCUGUUGGGGCCUUCGGGCCUUGGUAGCGCAGCUAACGCGUGAAGUUGACCGCCUGGGGAGUACGGUCGCAAGAUUAAAACUCAAAUGAAUUGAC
This 569-nucleotide ribosomal RNA is filed under the name uncultured bacterium. RNAcentral's name for it is "partial 16S ribosomal RNA". It matches the Rfam family "Bacterial small subunit ribosomal RNA", at positions 355 to 914 of the family's 1533-position model. The record is from RNAcentral.